This 571-nucleotide ribosomal RNA is filed under the name uncultured bacterium. Its description in RNAcentral is "bacterial SSU rRNA". It matches the Rfam family "Bacterial small subunit ribosomal RNA", at positions 334 to 919 of the family's 1533-position model. The record is from RNAcentral.
YGAUCCUACGGGAGGCAGCAGUGGGGAAUUUUCCGCAAUGGGCGAAAGCCUGACGGAGCAACGCCGCGUGAGGGACGAAGGCCUCUGGGCUGUAAACCUCUUUUCUCAAGGAAGAAGAUAUGACGGUACUUGAGGAAUAAGCCACGGCUAAUUCCGUGCCAGCAGCCGCGGUAAUACGGGAGUGGCAAGCGUUAUCCGGAAUUAUUGGGCGUAAAGCGUCCGCAGGCGGCUUUUCAAGUCUGCUGUUAAAGCGUGGAGCUUAACUCCAUCAUGGCAGUGGAAACUGAAAGGCUUGAGUAUGGUAGGGGCAGAGGGAAUUCCCGGUGUAGCGGUGAAAUGCGUAGAUAUCGGGAAGAACACCAGUGGCGAAGGCGCUCUGCUGGGCCAUUACUGACGCUCAUGGACGAAAGCCAGGGGAGCGAAAGGGAUUAGAUACCCCUGUAGUCCUGGCCGUAAACGAUGAACACUAGGUGUCGGGGGAAUCGACCCCUUCGGUGUCGUAGCUAACGCGUUAAGUGUUCCGCCUGGGGAGUACGCACGCAAGUGUGAAACUCAAAUGAAUUGACGGAAU